Molecule: transfer RNA, 70 nt
Filed under: Anallacta methanoides
Lineage: Eukaryota; Metazoa; Arthropoda; Insecta; Blattodea; Blattellidae
Description: tRNA-Pro
Source: RNAcentral
CAGGGAAUAGUUUUAUUAAAAUGUUAAUUUUGGGAAUUAAUGAUAAGGAUAAUUAUGUUCUUUUCUCUGA